GAUGAACGCUGGCGGCGUGCUUAACACAUGCAAGUCGAACGGAAAGGCCCAAGCUUGCUUGGGUACUCGAGUGGCGAACGGGUGAGUAACACGUGGGUGAUCUGCCCUGCACUUCGGGAUAAGCCUGGGAAACUGGGUCUAAUACCGGAUAGGACGAUGGUUUGGAUGCCAUUGUGGAAAGUUUUUUCGGUGUGGGAUGAGCUCGCGGCCUAUCAGCUUGUUGGUGGGGUAAUGGCCUACCAAGGCGUCGACGGGUAGCCGGCCUGAGAGGGGGUACGGCCACAUUGGGACCGUGAAACGGCCCACAGUCCUACGGGAGGCAGCAGGGGGGAAUAUUGCACAAUGGGCGCAAGCCUGAUGCAGCGACGCCGCGUGGGGGAUGACGGCCUUAGGGUUGUAAACUCCUUUCGCUAGGGACGAAGCGUUUUUGUGACGGUACCUGGAGAAGAAGCACCGGCUAACUACGUG
RNAcentral lists this ribosomal RNA (468 nucleotides) under uncultured bacterium. Its description in RNAcentral is "partial 16S ribosomal RNA". It matches the Rfam family "Bacterial small subunit ribosomal RNA", at positions 28 to 507 of the family's 1533-position model. The record is from RNAcentral.